GAACGCUGGCGGCGUGCCUAAUACAUGCAAGUCGAGCGAACAGACGGGGAGCUUGCUCCUCUGACGUUAGCGGCGGACGGGUGAGUAACACGUGGAUAACCUACCUAUAAGACUGGGAUAACUUCGGGAAACCGGAGCUAAUACCGGAUAAUAUAUUGAACCGCAUGGUUCAAUAGUGAAAGACGGUUUUGCUGUCACUUAUAGAUGGAUCCGCGCCGCAUUAGCUAGUUGGUAAGGUAACGGCUUACCAAGGCAACGAUGCGUAGCCGACCUGAGAGGGUGAUCGGCCACACUGGAACUGAGACACGGUCCAGACUCCUACGGGAGGCAGCAGUAGGGAAUCUUCCGCAAUGGGCGAAAGCCUGACGGAGCAACGCCGCGUGAGUGAUGAAGGUCUUCGGAUCGUAAAACUCUGUUAUUAGGGAAGAACAAAUGUGUAAGUAACUAUGCACGUCUUGACGGUACCUAAUCAGAAAGCCACGGCUAACUACGUG
RNAcentral lists this ribosomal RNA (494 nucleotides) under uncultured bacterium. RNAcentral's name for it is "partial 16S ribosomal RNA". It matches the Rfam family "Bacterial small subunit ribosomal RNA", at positions 31 to 507 of the family's 1533-position model. The record is from RNAcentral.